CAAUAGCGUAUAUUUAAGUUGCUGCAGUUAAAAAGCUCGUAGUUGGAUUUCGGGUGGGAAUGGCCGGUCCGCCGUUUCGGUGUGCACUUGCUACGCCCACCUUGCUGCCGGGGACGUGCUCUUGAGUUCACGCUCGGGACACGGAGUCGGCGAGGUUACUUUGAGUAAAUUAGCGUGUUCAAAGCAGGCCUACGCUCUGAAUACAUUAGCAUGGAAUAACACGAUAGGACUCUGGCCUAUCUUGUUGGUCUGUAGGACCGGAGUAAUGAUUAAGAGGGACAGUCGGGGGCAUUCGUAUUUCAUUGUCAGAGGUGAAAUUCUUGGAUUUAUGAAAGACGAACUACUGCGAAAGCAUUUGCCAAGGAUGUUUUCAUUAA
This 377-nucleotide ribosomal RNA is filed under the name uncultured eukaryote. Its description in RNAcentral is "partial 18S ribosomal RNA". It matches the Rfam family "Eukaryotic small subunit ribosomal RNA", at positions 592 to 976 of the family's 1831-position model. The record is from RNAcentral.